UGCGAACGGGUGAGUAACGCGUAGGUAACCUGCCUUGUAGCGGGGGAUAACUAUUGGAAACGAUAGCUAAUACCGCAUAACAAUGGAUGACACAUGUCAUUUAUUUGAAAGGGGCAAUUGCUCCACUACAAGAUGGACCUGCGUUGUAUUAGCUAGUAGGUGAGGUAAUGGCUCACCUAGGCGACGAUACAUAGCCGACCUGAGAGGGUGAUCGGCCACACUGGGACUGAGACACGGCCCAGACUCCUACGGGAGGCAGCAGUAGGGAAUCUUCGGCAAUGGGGGCAACCCUGACCGAGCAACGCCGCGUGAGUGAAGAAGGUUUUCGGAUCGUAAAGCUCUGUUGUAAGUCAAGAACGGGUGUGAGAGUGGAAAGUUCACACUGUGACGGUAGCUUACCAGAAAGGGACGGCUAACUACGUGCCAGCAGCCGCGGUAAUACGUAGGUCCCGAGCGUUGUCCGGAUUUAUUGGGCGUAAAGCGAGCGCAGGCGGUUUGAUAAGUCUGAAGUUAAAGGCUGUGGCUCAACCAUAGUUCGCUUUGGAAACUGUCAAACUUGAGUGCAGAAGGGGAGAGUGGAAUUCCAUGUGUAGCGGUGAAAUGCGUAGAUAUAUGGAGGAACACCGGUGGCGAAAGCGGCUCUCUGGUCUGUAACUGACGCUGAGGCUCGAAAGCGUGGGGAGCGAACAGGAUUAGAUACCCUGGUAGUCCACGCCGUAAACGAUGAGUGCUAGGUGUUGGAUCCUUUCCGGGAUUCAGUGCCGCAGCUAACGCAUUAAGCACUCCGCCUGGGGAGUACGACCGCAAGGUUGAAACUCAAAGGAAUUGACGGGGGCCCGCACAAGCGGUGGAGCAUGUGGUUUAAUUCGAAGCAACGCGAAGAACCUUACCAGGUCUU
RNAcentral lists this ribosomal RNA (898 nucleotides) under uncultured bacterium. RNAcentral's name for it is "bacterial SSU rRNA". It matches the Rfam family "Bacterial small subunit ribosomal RNA", at positions 97 to 982 of the family's 1533-position model. The record is from RNAcentral.